GGCGAGUUUGAUUGUGGCUUAAAUAGUUUAUGUUUAGAAAGUACUUCAUAAUAUUGUUAGAGUCUAAAUACAAGAAUUGUAUUAAGUUUAGUGGUUAUAUUUGGGGAACGUAGUAAUUUAUGGUCCAGCUUUCUAGUGUGUGAGGGUAAAUUUGAAUGCCAGCCUCCGCGGUCAUAUUCAAUUCAUAUUAAACCGAUUCGGAUAGGUUAGAAAGUGUUAUUUGAAAAGAUUAAUUGGUAGUUAAAGGUAUAAUUUAUGAUUAUCAAGUUUUAGCCUUGUGUUUUUGUUAAGCUUUUCUUAUGUAGGUGAUACGGUAAACCGGGAUUGGAUACCCCGCUAUUAUUGAUGUAAAUGAGAAUUUCUUCCUUAUUAUACAUUAGAUUGUUAAAGGGAAACGAAUAGGCGGUGUCUGAUUUAAAAAGCAGGGGAGCCUGGGCAAUAAAGGAUGAUCCACUUUAGUUAUGCCUAUUUUUAAAUAUGCCUCUGUAUGGUUGUUUACUUUAAAUUUGCGAGAUUUGGGGUAGGAAUCUUGAUUCUUUUGGGUUUCAAGAUAGAAUUCAGAUUUUCAUGGUGCUAUAAUUAGGUUGUUCUGGGCUACAGUGGUCCAUAUUUCUUUGUCCGCCAUGGGAGUGAGAAAUUGAUUGUGAAAGAAGGACUUGUAAGUAAAUUUAUUAUAUUAUGGUAGAUUGAAUAAUUUCGGAUGAGUACUAAUCGCCCGUCGCUUGCGGAGCUGAUCUGUGAUAAGUCGUAACAAAGUAGCUGUACUGGAAAGUGCAGCUAAAUUAGC
This 787-nucleotide non-coding RNA is filed under the name Mytella strigata. Lineage: Eukaryota; Metazoa; Mollusca; Bivalvia; Mytilida; Mytilidae. The record is from RNAcentral.